RNAcentral lists this ribosomal RNA (459 nucleotides) under uncultured bacterium. Its description in RNAcentral is "partial 16S ribosomal RNA". It matches the Rfam family "Bacterial small subunit ribosomal RNA", at positions 338 to 795 of the family's 1533-position model. The record is from RNAcentral.
CCUAGGGUGGCAGCAGUGAGGAAUAUUGGUCAAUGGGCGUAAGCCUGAACCAGCCAAGUCGCGUGAGGGGUGAAGGUUCUCUGGAUCGUUAACCUCUUUUAUACGGGGAUAAAGUGCGGGACGUGUUCCGUGUUGUAUGUACCUUAUGAAUAAAGAUCGGCUAAAUCCGGGCCAGCAGCGGCGGUAAUACGGAGGAUCCGAGCGUUCUCCGGAUUUAUGGGGGUUAAAGGGUGCGUAGGCGGCCUUUUAAGUCAGCGGUGAAAGUCUGUGGAUCAACCAUAGAAUCGCCGUUGAAACUGGCAGGCUUGAGUAUGUUUGAGGCAGGCGGAAUGCGUGGUGUAGCGGUGAAAUGCUUAGAUAUCACGCAGAACCCCGAUUGCGAAGGCAGCCUGCCAAGCCAUGACUGACGCUGAUGCACGAAAGCGUGGGGAUCGAACAGGAUUAGAUACCCGUGUAGUC